GAUGAACGCUGGCGGCGUGCCUAAUACAUGCAAGUAGAACGCUGAAGCUUGGUGCCUGCACCGAGCGGAUGAGUUGCGAACGGGUGAGUAACGCGUAGGUAACCUGCCUGGUAGCGGGGGAUAACUAUUGGAAACGAUAGCUAAUACCGCAUAACAGUCGACAUUGCAUGAUGUUGAUUUGAAAGGGGCAAUUGCUCCACUACCAGAUGGACCUGCGUUGUAUUAGCUAGUUGGUGAGGUAACGGCUCACCAAGGCGACGAUACAUAGCCGACCUGAGAGGGUGAUCGGCCACACUGGGACUGAGACACGGCCCAGACUCCUACGGGAGGCAGCAGUAGGGAAUCUUCGGCAAUGGACGGAAGUCUGACCGAGCAACGCCGCGUGAGUGAAGAAGGUUUUCGGAUCGUAAAGCUCUGUUGUAAGAGAAGAACGAGUGUGAGAGUGGGAAAGUUCACACUGUGACGGUAACUUACCAGAAAGGGACGGCUAACUACGUGCCAGCAGCCGCGGUAAUACGUAGGUCCCGAGCGUUAUCCGGAUUUAUUGGGCGUAAAGCGAGCGCAGGCGGUUAGAUAAGUCUGAAGUUAAAGGCUGUGGCUUAACCAUAGUACGCUUUGGAAACUGUUUAACUUGAGUGCAGAAGGGGGAGAGUGGAAUUCCAUGUGUAGCGGUGAAAUGCGUAGAUAUAUGGAGGAACACCGGUGGCGAAAGCGGCUCUCUGGUCUGUAACUGACGCUGAGGCUCGAAAGCGUGGGGAGCAACAGG
RNAcentral lists this ribosomal RNA (766 nucleotides) under uncultured Streptococcus sp. RNAcentral's name for it is "bacterial SSU rRNA". It matches the Rfam family "Bacterial small subunit ribosomal RNA", at positions 28 to 775 of the family's 1533-position model. The record is from RNAcentral. Lineage: Bacteria; Bacillati; Bacillota; Bacilli; Lactobacillales; Streptococcaceae.